CAGUCGCCGCGGUAAUACGAAGGGUGCAAGCGUUAAUCGGAAUUACUGGGCGUAAAGCGUGCGUAGGCGGUUUGUUAAGUCUGUUGUGAAAUCCCCGGGCUCAACCUGGGAAUGGCAAUGGAUACUGGCAAGCUAGAGUGUGUCAGAGGAUGGUGGAAUUCCCGGUGUAGCGGUGAAAUGCGUAGGGAUCGGGAGGAACAUCAGUGGCGAAGGCGGCCAUCUGGGACAACACUGACGCUGAGGCACGAAAGCGUGGGGAGCAAACAGGAUUAGAUACCCCGGUAGUCCCUGUCUCUUAUAA
RNAcentral lists this ribosomal RNA (301 nucleotides) under uncultured bacterium. RNAcentral describes it as "partial 16S ribosomal RNA". It matches the Rfam family "Bacterial small subunit ribosomal RNA", at positions 509 to 809 of the family's 1533-position model. The record is from RNAcentral.